RNAcentral lists this non-coding RNA (283 nucleotides) under Chlorella vulgaris. The record is from RNAcentral. Lineage: Eukaryota; Viridiplantae; Chlorophyta; Trebouxiophyceae; Chlorellales; Chlorellaceae.
CCGUCGAUGCCGCGGGUGCCCGCCACGCCAGGGCUGCUACAUCAGCUCUUCAACCCUAAAUAAUCGGUGCUCGCCUCCCCAGGCGUCCCUUCCCUUCCCGGGGCUUUCUGAUGUCUUCCCCAUGCUUGCCUCCAAGCUUAAGCAAUGCUCAAAGCAGACGUUCAAAGUGUCGACGCUGCUCUGCGGGUUGGCAGGCACAGCCCCCCACACGCCGGGACUGUGAGCAGCCUUGUGCUCACCCCUGCCAUGUUCCAAGAGCCAGCAAAGGGUGCUGCAACUUUUU